AUGUAUUCAUUUAACGUUGAUGAUGGUGAUGGCAGCUUGCAGUUGUCUGUUACUCAGUCUCAAAGUGUUGAUGGCACUAAGCCUGUUACCCAAGCUGAGGAUGUUCCUAUGCAGUUACAACUCGAGGAUGAAAGGAUAAGAAAGAAGAAGUAUGAUUUCCAGAAGAGGAAGGAAUUGGAACGACAUCAAAAGGCUGCCUGUGUGCCAGAAAGUGAUGUUGAUGUUGCUCAAGCUCCUAAAUGUAUAAACUUGAUGCAAACUCGGUUGACGCAAGUGUUUGAUCGUGAUGGAGUUAAGGAGAAGAAAGCUAUUUUGAAGAGGAAGAUGUCAGAUCGAAAUCCUGACGGCACACAGAGGCGUAGCCCACGUGUGAAAGCUGGUCCCCAACCUGGUAGUAGCAAAGCUGAUGCGGAUAGUGUUUCUGUGAAAAUUGGUCCAAGCAAACUUGGUGGCUCCGCUGUUCGUCGUAGUCCACGAGGUUUGACAAAUAAGAAGCCUUCUUCGUCUCCUCUUCAAGAGUGGUCUUUGUUGAAAGAAAAUAAGAAGCGUAAAGUUCAUCCUGCAAAGGUGAACAAAGGUGUGAAGAAGCGUGCUCGUGUUGAAGCUGAAGAUGCUGCAUCUGAAGAAGAUGAUAUUGAAGUUGAUUCAGAAGAUGAAUUUGCAGUGAUGAGCAUUAUGAGUCCGGUCAAGCCGGUGGGAGGCAAUGCCGGAAAAGUUGCCUUGGAUGAAGAUACAAUGACUCUUGACAUGGGUGAGGCUAAUAAGAAGCUUCGCAUCACUAGCGAUGGUAUACAACAAUUAUUUGGUUUCCCUCGUGGUGGUCGUUCUGCGCCAAGGCCGUCAGAGGAUGGAUAUGACAACGCUCUGAUGAAGUUAAGAUCGGAGCUUGACAUUAGCAGGAACAAAGAUAUCAAGACAAAGGAUUUGAGGAAUAAGCUCAAGGUGCUCGUCAAGGAUCCUAGCAAAGAUGACCUUGCUCUGAAAGUGUUCUUCAUUAUUGUGUUUAUGAAGGUUGUGUUGCCUGGUUCUGCUCCACAUGUUUCUAGAGAGGCAGGAAUGUUUGAGGGUCUCGUCUUUGAGGACAUGGCUAAUAUGGAUUACUGCCAGCUGAUGGUUGAUGAGCUUAGAAGGGCUGUUGCCAAGUACCAAAAUGGUGAUACCAUGGGGAAGGCAAUCACAGUCUGUGCCAUAGGGCCUGUACUAAUGUACCUUGACUGCCUUAUCCGUGGCAAGAUUGCAGAGCCUGACAUGCGAGUCCCCCGCAUAUGUUUCAUGGAUCCUGCCAAGCUUUCUGAUCUGGUUGAUGCAGAUUUGAUAAAAAAGGCAAUGCAGAUCCAAAGACUUGGGUGUUUGGGAAGCUUCCGGUAUGGUUUUUUAGUACUGUUGUUUCUUGUGUGGUUGAACUGA
This 1407-nucleotide ribosomal RNA is filed under the name Triticum aestivum (bread wheat). Its description in RNAcentral is "partial small subunit ribosomal RNA". The record is from RNAcentral. Lineage: Eukaryota; Viridiplantae; Streptophyta; Magnoliopsida; Poales; Poaceae.